UGGGAGGCCGAGGCAAGAGAACUGUUAAAGGUCAGGAGUUGGAGACCAACCAGCCCAAGGAAUAUAUAGGGAGACCCUAUCUCUUAAAAAAAAAAUUACCUGGGCAUGGUGGCAUGUGCCUGUGGUUCCAGUUACUCAGGAGGCUGAGGCAUAGGAUUGCUUGAGCCCAGGAGUUUGAGGCUGCACUGAGCUAUGAUCACACCACUGCAUUGCAGACUAGGUACAGAGCGAGUCUAUGUGGAGUGCAGUGUCUCUAAAAAAAAAAAAAAUACCCAAAAUAUAAACAGUAAAGACUAUGAAGUAUGUACAGGAAAUUAAUAGCUGAAGAAUAUUUUACCAUGUUCAAAAACAAAAUUCUUCAUGUGGCUAAGAAAGAAAAAAAACGGUAUGUUUGUGUUCCAUUUGCAGGUAUUACAUAAACCCAUUUUAAAUGAACUAAAAUGCCUAGGAUUUGGAGGGGAAAAAAAUUAUCUCAUGCUCACAUUUGAAGUUUCUUCUCAGAAAUAAACCAUUUAAAGAGA
This 521-nucleotide long non-coding RNA is filed under the name Pongo abelii (Sumatran orangutan). RNAcentral's name for it is "lincRNA". Lineage: Eukaryota; Metazoa; Chordata; Mammalia; Primates; Hominidae. The record is from RNAcentral.